AAAGCUCUUGGGAAAUUAUGUUCUUUAUUUGCGUAACAUGUUUUCUCCAGAGCUUAUC
Molecule: microRNA precursor, 58 nt
Filed under: Parasteatoda tepidariorum (common house spider)
Lineage: Eukaryota; Metazoa; Arthropoda; Arachnida; Araneae; Theridiidae
Description: microRNA pte-mir-11951a precursor
Source: miRBase by way of RNAcentral